UACGGAGGAUCCAAGCGUUGUCCGGAUUUAUUGGGUUUAAAGGGUGCGUAGGUGGAUAAUUAAGUCAGGGGUGAAAGCCUGCAGCUCAACUGUAGAACUGCCCUUGAAACUGAUUAUCUUGAGUGCGGUUGAGGAAGGCGGAAUGUGUCAUGUAGCGGUGAAAUGCUUAGAUAUGAUACAGAACACCGAUUGCGAAGGCAGCUUACUAAACCGUAACUGACACUGAGGCACGAAAGCAUGGGGAGCAAACAGG
Molecule: ribosomal RNA, 253 nt
Filed under: uncultured bacterium
Lineage: Bacteria
Description: partial 16S ribosomal RNA
Rfam family: Bacterial small subunit ribosomal RNA
Source: RNAcentral